GUGCUCACUUUGGCAGCACAUACACUAAAAUUGGAAUGAUAUAGAGAAGAUUAUCAUGGCCCAUGCACAAGGAUGACUUGCAAAUUGGUGAAGCAUUUCUGUUUUUU
RNAcentral lists this small nuclear RNA (107 nucleotides) under Nannospalax galili (Upper Galilee mountains blind mole rat). Lineage: Eukaryota; Metazoa; Chordata; Mammalia; Rodentia; Spalacidae. The record is from RNAcentral.